CAACACGCAACAGUGAAUUGUACCGGGUAAUGUACACACCGCCCGUCACACCAUGGGAGCAGGUUUUACCAGAAGUAUUAGCUUAUCACAUGGAGGGCGCCUUCCCACGGUGGGUAUUCGUGCUUUGUUUGUAAAAAGUUCUGGUAAAC
Molecule: ribosomal RNA, 149 nt
Filed under: uncultured bacterium
Lineage: Bacteria
Description: partial 16S ribosomal RNA
Source: RNAcentral